GGAUGUGAGGGCGAUCUGCCUCGACACCUGUCACCCCAUGGAUCGCCAGGGCUGAUUCGGCUGAUCUGGCUGGCUGGGCGGGUGUCCCCUUCCUCCCUCAGUGCUCCAUGUGCGUCCCUGCCGAAGCUGCGCGCUCGAUUGAAGAGGACGACUGCCCCGAUAGAGGAGCACGUUCCUCGGUCAAGGGUGGACGAGCAGCUGCGCUCCCUGCUGGAACCUCCAAACAAGCUCUCAAGACUGUGGCUCCCGGUUGACCCUUCUGGCCCUGCAGACAGCAGGGCACACAAUGACAUUCU
RNAcentral lists this small nuclear RNA (296 nucleotides) under Chinchilla lanigera (long-tailed chinchilla). Its description in RNAcentral is "7SK RNA (ENSCLAG00000021955.1)". It matches the Rfam family "7SK RNA", at positions 1 to 282 of the family's 331-position model. Rfam says of the family: 7SK was discovered as an abundant small nuclear RNA in the mid-70s but a possible function has only recently been suggested. Two independent studies have found that 7SK RNA binds the CDK9/cyclin T complex (known as elongation factor P-TEFb). The record is from RNAcentral. Lineage: Eukaryota; Metazoa; Chordata; Mammalia; Rodentia; Chinchillidae.